GAUGAAGAACGUAGUGAAAUGCGAUAAGUAAUGUGAAUUGCAGAAUUCAGUGAAUCAUCGAAUCUUUGAACGCACAUUGCGCCCGCCAGCAUUCUGGCGGGCAUGCCUGUUCGAGCGUCAUUUCAACCCUCGAGCCCCCCCGGGGGCCUCGGUGUUGGGGGACGGCACACCAGCCGCCCCCGAAAUGCAGUGGCGACCCCGCCGCAGCCUCCCCUGCGUAGUAGCACACACCUCGCACCGGAGCGCGGAGGCGGUCACGCCGUAAAACGCCCAACUUUCUUAGAGUUGACCUCGGAUCAGGUAGGAAUACCCGCUGAACUUAAGCAUAUCAAUAAGCGGAGGA
This 343-nucleotide unclassified non-coding RNA is filed under the name soil metagenome. RNAcentral describes it as "partial contains 5.8S ribosomal RNA, internal transcribed spacer 2, and large subunit ribosomal RNA". The stretch from base 1 to 120 matches the Rfam family "5.8S ribosomal RNA", at positions 35 to 154 of the family's 154-position model. The record is from RNAcentral.